AGAGAAAAAAAAAGAUUUUUAUUUAUGCAUAUGGGUGUGUCUCUGUGUGGGCAUGUGCCAUGGGUCUGAGGGUGCCCUCAGGAGCCAGAAGAGGCAUUAGAUCCCCUAGAGUUUCAUGUGGUUGUAAGCCUCUUGAUGUGGGUGCUGUGUACCAAACUCACAUCCUCUGAAAAAGCAGUGUGCUGCUAACUCCUGAACCACAUAUCCAGCCCCACUCCCCAUUUAAAAAUAUAGGGUCUUGUGUAGUCCCGGGCUGGCCUUAAAAUCACCACCUAGCCAAAGAUGACCUUGAACUUUUGAUCUUUGCCUCCACCCCACAGAUGCUGGGAUGACGGGUGUGAGCCAGUUUAUGUGCUGCAGAGAACAGACGCCAACGCCUGUGCAUGUCGGGAAGUGCUUGUUGUACGAAGGACCUGAAUCCCUCCAGCAUCUGUGUGAAGAGCCAGGCUCGGUGGGCCACACCUGUAAUCCCAAAACUGGAGCAAAGGCAGAAACAGCUGGGUCUCUGGAGCUCCUGGACAGCAUGGCAGCUGGGUCAGAAGCUCCAGGUUGAGCGGAAGACCUUGUCUCCGAGGAAAGAGAAGGACGGAAGAUACCCAGUGCUGACCUCUGGCCUCUACACCCUCACA
This is a non-coding RNA of Myodes glareolus (Bank vole), 629 nucleotides long. Lineage: Eukaryota; Metazoa; Chordata; Mammalia; Rodentia; Cricetidae. The record is from RefSeq and is a predicted model, not a curated record.